RNAcentral lists this ribosomal RNA (253 nucleotides) under uncultured bacterium. RNAcentral describes it as "partial 16S ribosomal RNA". It matches the Rfam family "Bacterial small subunit ribosomal RNA", at positions 524 to 776 of the family's 1533-position model. The record is from RNAcentral.
UACGGGGGGGGCAAGCGUUGUUCGGAAUUACUGGGCGUAAAGGGCUCGUAGGCGGCCAACUAAGUCGGAUGUGAAAUCCCCAGGCUCAACCUGGGAACUGCAUCCGAUACUGGAUGGCUUGAAUCCGGGAGAGGGACGCGGAAUUCCAGGUGUAGCGGUGAAAUGCGUAGAUAUCUGGAGGAACACCGGUGGCGAAGGCGGCGUCCUGGACCAACACUGACACUGAGGAGCGAAAGCCAGGGGAGCAAACGGG